Molecule: ribosomal RNA, 222 nt
Filed under: uncultured bacterium
Lineage: Bacteria
Description: partial 16S ribosomal RNA
Rfam family: Bacterial small subunit ribosomal RNA
Source: RNAcentral
GAUCAUGGCUCAGGAUGAACGCUGGCGGCGUGCCUAACACAUGCAAGUCGAGCGAAGCACUUUGCUUAGAUUCUUCGGAUGAAGAGGAUUGUGACUGAGCGGCGGACGGGUGAGUAACGCGUGGGUAACCUGCCUCAUACAGGGGGAUAACAGUUAGAAAUGACUGCUAAUACCGCAUAAGACCACAGCAUCGCAUGGUGGCGGGGUAAAAACUCCGGUGGU